RNAcentral lists this ribosomal RNA (465 nucleotides) under uncultured Alphaproteobacteria bacterium. Its description in RNAcentral is "bacterial SSU rRNA". It matches the Rfam family "Bacterial small subunit ribosomal RNA", at positions 9 to 521 of the family's 1533-position model. The record is from RNAcentral. Lineage: Bacteria; Pseudomonadati; Pseudomonadota; Alphaproteobacteria.
GAGUUUGAUCCUGGCUCAGAACGAACGCUGGCGGCAUGCCUAACACAUGCAAGUCGAACGAGACCUUCGGGUCUAGUGGCGCACGGGUGCGUAACGCGUGGGAAUCUGCCCUUGGGUUCGGAAUAACUCAGAGAAAUUUGAGCUAAUACCGGAUGAUGUCGUAAGACCAAAGAUUUAUCGCCCAGGGAUGAGCCCGCGUAGGAUUAGCUAGUUGGUGAGGUAAAAGCUCACCAAGGCGACGAUCCUUAGCUGGUCUGAGAGGAUGAUCAGCCACACUGGGACUGAGACACGGCCCAGACUCCUACGGGAGGCAGCAGUGGGGAAUAUUGGACAAUGGGCGAAAGCCUGAUCCAGCAAUGCCGCGUGAGUGAUGAAGGCCCUAGGGUUGUAAAGCUCUUUUACCGGGAUGAUAAUGACAGUACCGGGAGAAUAAGCUCCGGCUAACUCCGUGCCAGCAGCCGCAGU